ACAAAGAGUGGCGGACGGGUGAGUAACACGUGGGUAACCUACCUCUUAGCAGGGGAUAACAUUUGGAAACAAGUGCUAAUACCGUAUAAUACCAACAACCGCAUGGUUGUUGGUUGAAAGAUGGUUCUGCUAUCACUAAGAGAUGGACCCGCGGUGCAUUAGCUAGUUGGUAAGGUAACGGCUUACCAAGGCAAUGAUGCAUAGCCGAGUUGAGAGACUGAUCGGCCACAAUGGGACUGAGACACGGCCCAUACUCCUACGGGAGGCAGCAGUAGGGAAUCUUCCACAAUGGGCGCAAGCCUGAUGGAGCAACGCCGCGUGUGUGAUGAAGGGUUUCGGCUCGUAAAACACUGUUAUAAGAGAAGAACGGCACUGAGAGUAACUGUUCAGUGUGUGACGGUAUCUUACCAGAAAGGAACGGCUAAAUACGUGCCAGCAGCCGCGGUAAUACGUAUGUUCCAAGCGUUAUCCGGAUUUAUUGGGCGUAAAGCGAGCGCAGACGGUUAUUUAAGUCUGAAGUGAAAGCCCUCAGCUCAACUGAGGAAUGGCUUUGGAAACUGGAUGACUUGAGUGCAGUAGGGGAAAGUGGAACUCCAUGUGUAGCGGUGAAAUGCGUAGAUAUAUGGAAGAACACCAGUGGCGAAGGCGGCUUUCUGGACUGUAACUGACGUUGAGGCUCGAAAGUGUGGGUAGCAAACAGGAUUAGAUACCCUGGUAGUCCACACCGUAAACGAUGAGUGCUAGAUGUUCGAGGGUUUCCGCCCUUGAGUGUCGCAGCU
This 779-nucleotide ribosomal RNA is filed under the name uncultured bacterium. RNAcentral's name for it is "bacterial SSU rRNA". It matches the Rfam family "Bacterial small subunit ribosomal RNA", at positions 88 to 853 of the family's 1533-position model. The record is from RNAcentral.